CGGAACGCUCGACGCCUUGCUUGUCCACAAAAUUGCGACAUUAUCUCUGUAUAUGGAACGACUAUACGUGGUGGUUCCAAUGGGUUGUGGCAGGAUCAAACCAGGUACCCUUCGCGGGGGGUUCCCGGGCAACAUGGAUAACCCUGGUAAUUCUGAGGCUAAUACAAGAACGUACUCCCUGGGCAACUGGCCUUGGCUGGACGCCUGGGGGUCGUGCGAUACCUCGCGAGACUGCCAGGACUGGGCGCAUGACCGGACCGCGCUAAACACGGAUUGCCCCUUAAGCCUUCACGGGUGGCGGGGGUGGCUCGAGCGGCUCUUGCUGUGUGCUUCUGACCUAUCAACUUGAUGGCAGCGUAACGGACAUGCUAUGGUGGCGACGGGUACAGAGGAAAGGGUUCGA
Molecule: ribosomal RNA, 403 nt
Filed under: Stemonitis longa
Lineage: Eukaryota; Evosea; Eumycetozoa; Stemonitida; Stemonitidae
Description: Stemonaria longa partial small subunit ribosomal RNA
Rfam family: Eukaryotic small subunit ribosomal RNA (bases 95-403)
Source: RNAcentral